This is a non-coding RNA of Pelobates cultripes (western spadefoot toad), 151 nucleotides long. The record is from the annotation of a GenBank genome assembly. Lineage: Eukaryota; Metazoa; Chordata; Amphibia; Anura; Pelobatidae.
GCAGAUACAUUCCAGCCAAUCAGCAGCAGACCCUCCCUCCCAGACCCUCCCACCUCCUGGACAGCAUCAGAAGCUGCAUUCUUAUGAGCUGUCCAGGAGGUGGGAGGGUCUGGGAGGGAGGGUCUGCUGCUGAUUGGCUGGAAUGUGUCUG